AGCAGCCGCGGUAAUUCCAGCUCCAAUAGCGUAUAUUAAAGUUGUUGCAGUUAAAAAGCUCGUAGUUGAAUUUCGGAAUCAGUAUGUCGGUCGUGCCUCCGGUAUGUACUGGCGUCACUGGUUCCUCCCUUCUGACGAACCAUCAUGCUAUUAAUUUAGUGUGGUGGGAAAUCAGGACUGUUACUUUGAAAAAAUUAGAGUGUUUAAAGCAGGCUC
This 216-nucleotide ribosomal RNA is filed under the name uncultured Glomus. RNAcentral's name for it is "partial small subunit ribosomal RNA". It matches the Rfam family "Eukaryotic small subunit ribosomal RNA", at positions 569 to 787 of the family's 1831-position model. The record is from RNAcentral. Lineage: Eukaryota; Fungi; Glomeromycota; Glomeromycetes; Glomerales; Glomeraceae.